GAACGCUGGCGGCGUUCUUAACACAUGCAAGUCGCACGGACAGGCCCUGCUUUUGUGGGGUGCUCGAGUGGCGAACGGGUGAGUAACACGUGAGUAACCUGCCCUUGACUUUGGGAUAACUUCAGGAAACUGGGGCUAAUACCGGAUAGGAGCUCCUGCUGCAUGGUGGGGGUUGGAAAGGUUCGGCGGUUGGGGAUGGACUCGCGGCCUAUCAGCUUGUUGGUGGGGUAGUGGCUUACCAAGGCUUUGACGGGUAGCCGGCCUGAGAGGGUGACCGGCCACAUUGGGACUGAGAUACGGCCCAGACUCCUACGGGAGGCAGCAGUGGGGAAUAUUGCACAAUGGGCGGAAGCCUGAUGCAGCAACGCCGCGUGCGGGAUGACGGCCUUCGGGUUGUAAACCGCUUUCGCCUGUGACGAAGCGUGAGUGACGGUAAUGGGUAAAGAAGCACCGGCUAACUACGUG
Molecule: ribosomal RNA, 465 nt
Filed under: uncultured bacterium
Lineage: Bacteria
Description: partial 16S ribosomal RNA
Rfam family: Bacterial small subunit ribosomal RNA
Source: RNAcentral